This 426-nucleotide long non-coding RNA is filed under the name Callithrix jacchus (white-tufted-ear marmoset). RNAcentral describes it as "lncRNA (ENSCJAG00000083088.1)". The record is from RNAcentral. Lineage: Eukaryota; Metazoa; Chordata; Mammalia; Primates; Cebidae.
AAAGUUCCAGAGACGAUAUGGAAUUAUAUUUGACCUGAAAUGUUCCCUUCCUGGAGCUCCGGAUGCUGCAAUUAAGAGGUUCCAUGUGACACUGCCUUCCGAUGUAUUGUGCAGAGUUCUGACAAGUCCUCAGAUUGGAUGUCUGGGUGAUGACAAAGGAGACCCACAGUUUUCCUAGGUAUUGAGGAAGGAGACCCCGGCAUCUGGGAUCACCUCCCCCUCGACAUUCACAGUGCAUUUCAAUAGAAGAAAAAGCAGGCCAACUGGUGCCUCCUGAAUUACCUUCCUGUAAGUAACACGCUUGGUAUUGGGGAAACUCUCUGGAAGACACUGUUUUUACUUAAAACAAGAUUAACGCCCCACCCCAUUCCUCCAUCCGGAGACCAGAGCCUUUUCACAUGUGAUCUCUAAAGCGGUAAUCCCAGA